AUUUAUUAAUACAAGUCUAAGUUCUAGACAUUUUAUUGCUUAUUUCAAAGGAAACAUCCUUCUAUAUAACAUGAGAAUCAACGAUAAACUAACGAUUAUUCUCUUAUUCAGACAUCCUUUGCAUGAGUCCGGUAAUUUACAUAUGAUCAACAAUAAAGCACGCUACUAUCUGACCAUCUUUGUUAAAUUUAUUUAGAUUAAGAACAAGCAUGAGAUGAUGGUGAUACAAAUGAUGGCCAAGGUGGCAACAAUUGAACCGUGCUCAAAUGCUUUCUGCAAGUUGCCUAAGCGUGAAAAAUGCUGGAAAGCCAAAUAGCCUGCAAUCACCAAGGCAAUAAUAGCACCUUCUUGUGUUUCCCUCAGGUUCAAUACUUGAUAGGGGGCCACAAUUACCAAGAGUAGUGCCAUAAACGGCAACUCAAGUUCCCCAGGAACAAAGAAGAAGAGGCGGACAAGAAGUGCUAUGAAUGCCGUCCAAAUGCCAUAAUCACCCUUAAUCCAAGAAAUGACGCUUGAUGGUGCCUGCAGAGCUAAUAACGGAACAAUAAAAGACUUAUGGAUUGCAGUGCCCUUGGCAAGCAUCAGAACCGCAGAGGAGAUGGUGGAGAUCCACUGAAGGUUACGAGCAGAGAUAGGCCCAGUGUAACAAACCGCACCAACUCCACCCCCUCUAUUUUUCAUUAACAAAUCAUUUCCCUUCACCGAAACUCUGAGAGGAUUGACGCCGCGAGAGCUCGAAACUCGUCGAGGUACAGCACAAGAGAGCUUACACUGGUAACAAGAGAGCCUCUUGUUGCUGCUGUGAGGAGCGAAAGAAUUUAUCGCCGGCAAUUGGCAGAGACUCGCCAUAUCUCGCUUCUGGUUUCUAGUUUGCGUAAAUUGUCGUGUCUCUCGGUUCGACGGCCAAAGAAAGCAGGACGGAGAGAAGAUCAGAA
Molecule: unclassified non-coding RNA, 935 nt
Filed under: Hevea brasiliensis (rubber tree)
Lineage: Eukaryota; Viridiplantae; Streptophyta; Magnoliopsida; Malpighiales; Euphorbiaceae
Source: RNAcentral